GACGAACGCUGGCGGCGUGCCUAAUACAUGCAAGUCGAACGCACUCUCGUUUAGAUUGAAGGAGCUUGCUCCUGAUUGAUAAACAUUUGAGUGAGUGGCGGACGGGUGAGUAACACGUGGGUAACCUGCCCUAAAGUGGGGGAUAACAUUUGGAAACAGAUGCUAAUACCGCAUAAAACCUAAACACCGCAUGGUGUAGGGUUGAAAGAUGGUUUCGGCUAUCACUUUAGGAUGGACCCGCGGUGCAUUAGUUAGUUGGUGAGGUAAAGGCUCACCAAGACCGUGAUGCAUAGCCGACCUGAGAGGGUAAUCGGGCCACACUGGGACUGAGACACGGCCCAGACUCCUACGGGAGGCAGCAGUAGGGAAUCUUCCACAAUGAACGAAAGUACUGAUGGAGCAACGCCGCGUGAGUGAAGAAGGUUUUCGGAGUCGUAAAACUCU
Molecule: ribosomal RNA, 444 nt
Filed under: uncultured bacterium
Lineage: Bacteria
Description: bacterial SSU rRNA
Rfam family: Bacterial small subunit ribosomal RNA
Source: RNAcentral